Oryza rufipogon (brownbeard rice) is the source of this 91-nucleotide non-coding RNA. Lineage: Eukaryota; Viridiplantae; Streptophyta; Magnoliopsida; Poales; Poaceae. The record is from Rfam.
GCUUGCCGUAUGCGGUGAGAGUCGCACGUACGGUAAGGAGGGGGGUUCGCGUCUAUACGUGUAGUGUGGUGGUUGGGCCUACCCACCCUAU